Molecule: ribosomal RNA, 374 nt
Filed under: uncultured prokaryote
Description: bacterial SSU rRNA
Rfam family: Bacterial small subunit ribosomal RNA
Source: RNAcentral
UACGUAGGUGUCGAGCGUUGUCCGGAUUUAUUGGGCGUAAAGCGCCCGCAGGCGGCUUGUUAAGUUCGAAGUGAAAUCUCCCGGCUUAACUGGGAGGGUGCUCCGAAAACUGGCAGGCUUGAGUCAUGGAGAGGGAUGUGGAAUUCCCGGUGUAGUGGUGAAAUGCGUAGAUAUCGGGAGGAACACCAGUGGCGAAGGCGGCAUCCUGGCCAUGUACUGACGCUCAGGGGCGAAAGCGUGGGGAGCAAACCGGAUUAGAUACCCGGGUAGUCCACGCCGUAAACGAUGAGUACUAGGUGUAGGGGGUAUCGACCCCCUCUGUGCCGAAGCUAACGCGAUAAGUACUCCGCCUGGGGACUACGGCCGCAAGGCUA